This 4712-nucleotide long non-coding RNA is filed under the name Podarcis lilfordi (Lilford's wall lizard). Lineage: Eukaryota; Metazoa; Chordata; Lepidosauria; Squamata; Lacertidae. The record is from RNAcentral.
GUGACAGGCCCAUGUUGAGAAGGGAGGUAACAGUGCUGUUGUUGGCAUUCGUCUCUCUCAAGAGGUAAUGGAGUGUGCCUCCAGCGGUUAAGUUAAACAGCUGUGUUAGCACUGAACUGACCUCCCGGGGGUGCAAGCCUGGGGAGUGCAUGGAGGACUGCCCAGAUGACAAGACCCCCCUCUCAGCCUCACUGAUGUGGUCCAAAGAAAAGCAGAGCAAUACAUUUGGCACCAGCUUGGCUGCAGCCAUCUUGUACAAUCAAAUUUUGUAUAGGGUUUACUCCUAUACAAUCUGAUUUUGUAUAGGGUUUACUCCUUAGCCUUUUCUUCUCCUGAAGAUAUCUCGCAUGGCAGUGGAGGUUUAGGAUUAGAGUUUUCCUUCUCCUAGAUGUGCUACCUUCCCAGAUUGACGAGUCCCAUCUGCUCUUCACUUCCCUCUAUGUCACAUGCAGAAACUGCCUUCUUGACCAAGUGGUCUUGUCUUCACAUGCAGGGGAAGUCCCUAACACACCAAGGGUAACAGUGUAAGGCAUGGAAAACAGGAGUAAAACAAGAAGCUCAAUUUCAACAAACAAUUCCCAUCUUCCUUGACUAGUGGCCAUGCUGGCUGGGGCAAUGGGAGUUGUAGGCCCAAAGAUAUGGAGGGCACAAGACUGGGGAAGGCUUCCUCAGAUGCCUUCUAUGUCUCCCACUAAAUGAGGUGAUGUCGGUGGUUUCUGUGAGGAGGGCCUUUUUGGUGGCAGUGCCCUAGUUAUAGAAUGUCCUUCCCAGAGAGGCUUGUCUGGCACCUACAUUGUAGUAUUUCUGGUGAAAACUCACCCCCUGGCCAGCUUUUCAGUUACAUGUGCUCAGGGCUUUUUUCCCCAGGGGGAAUUCACAGGAACUCACUUCUGGCAACUCUCAGGUGGGCACCAUUGCCAUUCUAAGAGAAUGAGGGAGGUGUUCAUGGUGAAUUUCAGCACCUCUUUUUCUAGAAAAAUAGCUUUUUGAGUGCUAUAGUAUACUUUGAGCUGUUGGCACUAAUUUACAUGUAACUGACAUUGUCACCUUAUUCUGAACAAACCUUGUGUCUGUGCACAUAACCCCUUCUGUCUUUCCUCCAUGACAUGAGCAUACGUGCCAGGAAGUCUUCAGUUAAUUAUAGUUCCUGUUCAAACCAGGAAGCCUCCAAUUAACCAUAGUUCCCCAUUUCAUCUGAACUUGGAAACGAUAGCCACCAGUUUCGGAGCAAGGCAGGAUAGAAAUUGUAGCUUCUUCCAAAAUUGGUAACCAUAGUUUCCUGAUUUCAGAUGAAAUAGGAUUGGGAAACUAUGGUUAGUCACUUCCUGGUUUAAUCAUAGCUCAAGAGGACAGGGUAGCAUGAAUGUGGAAAAGGAUUGGUCAUAUCUCAGGGUAUUAAUCCGAACCAGAUCAGUCACACAUCAUUCCUUUGUUAACCCUGCCUCCACUUUCCUCCCUUCUGGUGCUGAGUUUUAGAUCGCAAGUCCCUCCAGGCAAGAACCCUUGCAAUCUUUAGUGGCAUGUAUCCUAGGGUGGCUAGCUACAAGAGAGGUCAGGGCUCCUGCACCUUUUAAUAGUUUUGUAGAAGAAAGAUGUAGCUUGCCAGGUUUACACUAUAUUAACAAUAUAAUUAUUUCAGUAUCAGUGUCCAAUUUAUAGAAUUCCCUUCCCUCUCAUGUAUGGCUGAUGCCAACUCCCAUGGUGUUUUCAGCUCAUGUAUUUGCCCUGGCAAUUGAAGCAGUCUUCGUAGCAAACAGUGCAGUGGUACGGCGUCACUUACUUGGCCUCCUUCUGGUCAAGCUGCUGCUGUUGACUUUAACUCCUUUUGUAUUAGUUUUAGUGUCACUUGCCCUAAGAUUGCCUUGGCAAUGGAAGAGCAGGUGCCUAACAUUUAAAAUAGCAUAUUUACUAUUCAACAUGUGUGUACCGCUUCAAAAAAAAACCCCAGAAAAGUAAAAAAGCAUUUAAAAAAAUAAUACAGUGUAAAUUCCACAUUCAGUACUAUGCAAUGCUACUAACUCCACAUUUGAAGUGACCUAGUUAAGCAACCAGGGGACGCAGGUGGCGCUGUGGGUAAAACCUCAGCGCCUAGGACUUGCCGAUUGCAUGGUCGGCGGUUCGAAUCCUCGCGGCGGGGUGAGCUCCCGUCGUUCGGUCCCAGCUCCUGCCCACCUAGCAGUUUGAAGGCACCCCCAAGAGCAAGUAGAUAAAUAGGUACCGCUUUAUAGCGGGAAGGUAACGGCGUUUCCGUGUGCUGCGCUGGUGCUGGCUCGCCAGAGCAGCUUCGUCACGCUGGCCACGUGACCCGGAAGUGUCUUCGGACAGCACUGGCUCCCGGCCUCUUAAGCGAGAUGAGCACGAAACCCCAGAGUCGGACACGACUGGCCCGUACGGGCAGGGGUACCUUUACCUUUACUUUUUAGUUAAGCAACAGUAAAUAUCUCCACACAUAAGUAAUAAAAUAUAAUCAAACAUCAUUAAUGCGCUUGGACUCAAGUGUGAGCCGCGGACAUUAAAUAACACAGCCGUGGUCAGCAGACGAUAGCCAUGAUUAUUUCUGCCAUUAGCAGGCUGUGAAACUAAACCUCAAGUCCCCCCAGCCCAUUUUUCUGAAGGGUGCCUCUCCAUAUUUGCAGGCUGCUUUAAAGGUCCCUCUCCCAAGGCUUCCUGUAUACCUGUGUCAAAACUAGUUGAAGGCCUUUUGCCUAAAUCUUUGUCAGCAGCUGACUUAAUUUGUGGCUUACUGCUCCUGACAGUUUAUUGGGGAAGCAAAGCGUGCCUUCAUCUCCAAUAAUAAACAGCCCACCCACAGAUACUUUGACAGAGUUAAUGGUUUUUAUACAAAAAUGGACAGACUUAAUGUUUCGGCUGUAGCAAUCAUCAGUUCUGAUCUCCUUAAUGAAAUUAGAUUAAGUGCACCUGGGAAAAUGCUGAGACGGCACAUUGCCUUCAUCACCUCCUUUAAUUUAAAACCAAUUUGUGGGGAAAAUAUUCUCUGAAGCUGAGGGAUGCAGCAGGAGAAGGAGGGAGUGAGGGGCAAAAAAGGAGAUUUUAAAAUCUAUCUGGAUAGCUGCUGGCACUUUUAAUUCCUUUCCCCAAUGACAAUGUGAAUUAUUAAGUCUUAAGAAAGAGUUUAAAGACUCAUUCGCUAACCCUUCUUCUGCCUUUCAUAGAGAAGGGGGGAAAAUACAUUUAAAGUCACGUCCAAGGACACAGCACUGCUCUCUAUGUGUUUAUUUUGUUUGCAAAAGGGUAGCUGUAAGUUUGCCUGCCAUGAUCUCCCUCUGCCCAAUAAUGGAAAUUGACCUCACUGGGGCCAAACAUCACCACCAUCUAACAGAAGCAGAGAGGGAAGUGAGGGGCAAGGAAAAACUUUCACUCACACACUUAUCUUCCCUCUCUCUCCAGGGAAAUAAUUGCAUUUUCGCACGUCCACAGUAGCCCAGUUCACAAACCAUAGUAAGCUAUAUUUAAUAGAGGAAACAAAUGCUCACAAUGGAUCCAUGUUAACAAGUAGGUUGGUGAUUCGAGCCUACCCAGGGAUGACUGCAGGGGGUUGGGCUACAUGACCCUUAGGAUCCCUUCCAGUUCUAAGGCAGUUCUGCCUUAGUGUUAUAUUCAAACCAGGGUUUGUGGUAUGCUUACUUCCAGUUCAAGUUAGGAGUUGCUAAGGUGUGAUUCAUUUAUGCACUUAAGCAUGCUUUAUGGCAGGGAUCAGCACCCUUUUUCAGCCGUGGGCUGGUCCACCGUCCCUCAGACCAUGUGGUGGGCUGGACUAUAUGGGGGGGGGGGAAAUUCCUAUGCCCCACAAAUAACCCAGAGCUGCAUUUUAAAUAAAAGGACACAUUCUACUCAUGUAAAAACACGCUGAUUCCCGGACCGUACACAGGCCUGAUUGAGAAAGUGAUUGGGCCGCAUCCGGCCCCCGGGCCUUAGUUUGCCUACCCCUGCUUUAUGGUUUACGGAGACAUGCAAAUGUGGCAAUUGUAAUUUGAAAUCAGGAAAAAAUACAUCCUCCCAAACCAGAAGCACACUCUUGAAGUUCCCACUUUUGAUCCCAACACACAAAAAAGCAAAAUUUGCACACCUGAUGCAUUAUAAAUGGAUUGUCUGGACGGAAACAGGAGGCCAUCUCUUAACUGCUAAUAUUAUCUUAUUCUGCUCUUUCAUAAGCUUGCUAGAAACAUCAGCAGGAUGUUUUAUGUUUGCUUGUUUGUUUUUGCUUUCAAUGAACCACUUGCUAAUCUUUAUUGGUUCCAAAGUUCCAUUCAGAAACCCCAGCCUUAGCAAGCUCUCAAACCUAGGACGAAUGGAUAGUUUAUACAUUUUAUAUUGACUGGGCACUCAGUGAUGAUGACAUGUACGCUCAUCCCUGCAGGCCACUUGACAGUGAAGGAUUAUAAGCAUUGCCAAUAUUCUGUGAACUAUAAUUGUAUCCCUGCUUGCCUUCACCUAGGUCCUUUAGAAAAAAGAGUAUUUCCAAAGACAGUUGUACUUAGACUGUUAACAUACCAUCCUAAAAGGAAUAUAGCCCUUCGUCCAAUCCCCCUACCAAUCACAAAUAUUUCACUGCAAGCUCAUUGAUGGUCUCAAGCCUUUGUACAGUUCCACCCUGGCCUGGCACACACACAUUUCUCAUGCAAUGUUAAUUAGUUUGCAGAUAUCUUUUUUUUUUAAAAAAAAGAUAUUUAUUAAGAUUUUCAAAAUAUUAC